Molecule: ribosomal RNA, 292 nt
Filed under: uncultured bacterium
Lineage: Bacteria
Description: partial 16S ribosomal RNA
Rfam family: Bacterial small subunit ribosomal RNA
Source: RNAcentral
GUGCCAGCCGCCGCGGUAAUACAGAGGUCCCGAGCGUUGUUCGGAUUCACUGGGCGUAAAGGGUGCGUAGGUGGUGAGGUAAGUCGGAUGUGAAAGCUCUGAGCUCAACUCAGAAAAUGCAUUGGAAACUACCUUGCUUGAGGAUUGGAGGGGGGACUGGAAUUCUCGGUGUAGCAGUGAAAUGCGUAGAGAUCGAGAGGAACACCAGUGGCGAAGGCGAGUCCCUGGACAAAUCCUGACGCUGAGGCACGAAAGCUAGGGGAGCAAACAGGAUUAGAAACCCCAGUAGUCC